GCCAACGGUCAUACCACAUGGAAUACACCGGCUCUCGUCCGAUCGCCGCAGUUAAGCCAUGUUGGGCCAUGCUAGUACUAUCGUGCCUUUUCUUUCUUUUUUUUUUUUUUGUGCCUUUCUCGCGUGAAAAGCGAGCCAUCGCGGUCA
RNAcentral lists this ribosomal RNA (147 nucleotides) under Monosiga brevicollis. Lineage: Eukaryota; Choanoflagellata; Craspedida; Salpingoecidae. The record is from RNAcentral.